GGGUUCCUACGGGAGGCAGCAGUAGGGAAUCUUCCACAAUGGACGAAAGUCUGAUGGAGCAACGCCGCGUGAGUGAAGAAGGGUUUCGGAUUGUAAACUUCCGUUCUUAGUGAAGAAUAAUGACGGUAACUAAGGAGCAAGCCACGGCUAACUACGUGCCAGCAGCCGCGGUAAUACGUAGGUGGCAAGCGUUGUCCGGAAUUACUGGGUGUAAAGGGAGCGUAGGCGGGAAGCCAAGUCAGCUGUGAAAACUACGGGCUUAACCUGUAG
Molecule: ribosomal RNA, 270 nt
Filed under: uncultured bacterium
Lineage: Bacteria
Description: partial 16S ribosomal RNA
Rfam family: Bacterial small subunit ribosomal RNA
Source: RNAcentral